GACAGAGGGUGCAAACGUUGUUCGGAUUUACUGGGCGUAAAGCGCGUGUAGGCGGCUUUGCAAGUCGGAUGUGAAAUCCCACGGCUCAACCGUGGAAGUGCAUCCGAAACUGCAUCGCUCGAGUCUCGGAGAGGAAGGUGGAAUGCUUGGUGUAGAGGUGAAAUUCGUAGAUAUCGGGAGGAACACCAGUGGCGAAGGCGGCGAUCUGGGCAGAUACUGACGCUGAGGUGCGAAAGCGUGGGGAGCAAACAGG
This 253-nucleotide ribosomal RNA is filed under the name uncultured bacterium. Its description in RNAcentral is "partial 16S ribosomal RNA". It matches the Rfam family "Bacterial small subunit ribosomal RNA", at positions 524 to 776 of the family's 1533-position model. The record is from RNAcentral.